Molecule: unclassified non-coding RNA, 238 nt
Filed under: Hevea brasiliensis (rubber tree)
Lineage: Eukaryota; Viridiplantae; Streptophyta; Magnoliopsida; Malpighiales; Euphorbiaceae
Source: RNAcentral
AUUGUUUCUAGUGUCCUAUACACACGCACAACCUCUCUAAAGGAAAAAACUCAAAUUAUAAUUAGUUGACAAGACUUGAGAAGUUGAUUUGGGGACUGCCCAUUUGAUGAUCUUGGUGUGGACAAGCUAGAUGGACAACAUUUGGGGUCCUAGGUGCUUUCUAAAGAUGCCAAUCACAUCCAUAUUGCAUCAAAGAGGUUAGUGUUCUAACUUUUCUUUUAAACUAGGGUUUAAAUGA